Molecule: long non-coding RNA, 424 nt
Organism: Cydia fagiglandana
Lineage: Eukaryota; Metazoa; Arthropoda; Insecta; Lepidoptera; Tortricidae
Exons: 2
Source: RefSeq, a predicted model, not a curated record
GUGUCUCUCGCGCAAAUAUUCAGUUUAGAAAAAAAUGAUAUUAGAAACCUCAAUAUCAUUUUUGAAGACCUAUCCAUAGAUACCCCACACGUAUGCAUGGUAACACAAUAAAAUUGCGGUUUACGGUUUAUGACGUAUUAAAAAAAACUACUUACCAAAUCUUGUUCAAACCAAUUUUCGGUGGAAGUUUGCAUGGUAAUGUACAUCAUAUAUUUUUUUUAGUUUUAUCAUACUCUUAUUUUAGAAGAUACAGGGGGGGGGGGACACACAUUUUACAACUUUGGAAGUGUCUCUCGCGCAAACUAUUCAGUUUAGAAGAAAAUGAUAUUAGAAACCUCAAUAUCAUUUUUGAAGACCUAUCCAUAGAUACCCCACACGUAUGGGUUUGAUGAAAAAAAAAUUUUUGAGUUUCUGUUUUAUGUAU